Molecule: ribosomal RNA, 207 nt
Filed under: uncultured bacterium
Lineage: Bacteria
Description: partial 16S ribosomal RNA
Rfam family: Bacterial small subunit ribosomal RNA
Source: RNAcentral
CGUGCAGGUGGUUUGGUAAGUUGGAUGUGAAAUCUCUCGGCUCAACUGGGAGAGGUCGUUCAAAACUGCCAGGCUAGAGGACGGUAGAGGAAAGUGGAAUUCCCGGUGUAGUGGUGAAAUGCGUAGAUAUCGGGAGGAACACCAGUGGCGAAAGCGACUUUCUGGCCCGUUCCUGACACUAAGACGCGAAAGCUAGGGUAGCAAACG